AGACUUGCAAAAAUCACAGUAACAGAGUGAAAAACCUUCCUGAAGUGUUAGGAGGAACUUGAGUCAUAAUUUGAUGUUGAAUCAGAGAGAACAAGUGUUUGGGCUUAUUUGCCUCAGAG
Cercocebus atys (sooty mangabey) is the source of this 119-nucleotide unclassified non-coding RNA. The record is from Ensembl. NCBI's taxonomy places the organism in Eukaryota, Metazoa, Chordata, Mammalia, Primates, Cercopithecidae.